CCUACGGGUGGCAGCAGUGGGGAAUAUUGCACAAUGGGCGCAAGCCUGAUGCAGCCAUGCCGCGUGUGUGAAGAAGGCCUUCGGGUUGUAAAGCACUUUCAGCGGGGAGGAAGGCGUUGAGGUUAAUAACCUCAUCGAUUGACGUUACCCGCAGAAGAAGCACCGGCUAACUCCGUGCCAGCAGCCGCGGUAAUACGGAGGGUGCAAGCGUUAAUCGGAAUUACUGGGCGUAAAGCGCACGCAGGCGGUCUGUCAAGUCGGAUGUGAAAUCCCCGGGCUCAACCUGGGAACUGCAUUCGAAACUGGCAGGCUAGAGUCUUGUAGAGGGGGGUAGAAUUCCAGGUGUAGCGGUGAAAUGCGUAGAGAUCUGGAGGAAUACCGGUGGCGAAGGCGGCCCCCUGGACAAAGACUGACGCUCAGGAGCGAAAGCGUGGGGAGCAAACAGGAUUAGAUACCCGAGUAGUC
This 465-nucleotide ribosomal RNA is filed under the name uncultured Klebsiella sp. RNAcentral's name for it is "bacterial SSU rRNA". It matches the Rfam family "Bacterial small subunit ribosomal RNA", at positions 338 to 795 of the family's 1533-position model. Lineage: Bacteria; Pseudomonadati; Pseudomonadota; Gammaproteobacteria; Enterobacterales; Enterobacteriaceae. The record is from RNAcentral.